UGUGGUAACAUGACCGAUCCCGGAGAAGCUGGCGGGAGCCCCGGGGAGAGUUCUCUUUUCUUUGUGAAGAGCACCCUGGAAUGGGUUCGCCCCGAGAGAGGGGCCCAAGCCCUGAAAAGCGUUGCGGUUUUGGCGGCGUCCGGUGAGCUCUCCCUGGCCCUUGAAAAUCCGGGGG
This 175-nucleotide non-coding RNA is filed under the name Salmo salar (Atlantic salmon). RNAcentral's name for it is "Eukaryotic large subunit ribosomal RNA". It matches the Rfam family "Eukaryotic large subunit ribosomal RNA", at positions 1640 to 1819 of the family's 3401-position model. Lineage: Eukaryota; Metazoa; Chordata; Actinopteri; Salmoniformes; Salmonidae. The record is from Rfam by way of RNAcentral.